This 1509-nucleotide ribosomal RNA is filed under the name Helicobacter pylori. RNAcentral describes it as "bacterial SSU rRNA". It matches the Rfam family "Bacterial small subunit ribosomal RNA". Lineage: Bacteria; Pseudomonadati; Campylobacterota; Epsilonproteobacteria; Campylobacterales; Helicobacteraceae. The record is from RNAcentral.
UUUAUGGAGAGUUUGAUCCUGGCUCAGAGUGAACGCUGGCGGCGUGCCUAAUACAUGCAAGUCGAACGAUGAAGCUUCUAGCUUGCUAGAAUGCUGAUUAGUGGCGCACGGGUGAGUAACGCAUAGGUUAUGUGCCUUUUAGUUUGGGAUAGCCAUUGGAAACGAUGAUUAAUACCAGAUACUCCCUACGGGGGAAAGAUUUAUCGCUAAGAGAUCAGCCUAUGUCCUAUCAGCUUGUUGGUAAGGUAAUGGCUUACCAAGGCUAUGACGGGUAUCCGGCCUGAGAGGGUGAACGGACACACUGGAACUGAGACACGGUCCAGACUCCUACGGGAGGCAGCAGUAGGGAAUAUUGCUCAAUGGGGGAAACCCUGAAGCAGCAACGCCGCGUGGAGGAUGAAGGUUUUAGGAUUGUAAACUCCUUUUGUUAGAGAAGAUAAUGACGGUAUCUAACGAAUAAGCACCGGCUAACUCCGUGCCAGCAGCCGCGGUAAUACGGAGGGUGCAAGCGUUACUCGGAAUCACUGGGCGUAAAGAGCGCGUAGGCGGGAUAGUCAGUCAGGUGUGAAAUCCUAUGGCUUAACCAUAGAACUGCAUUUGAAACUACUAUUCUAGAGUGUGGGAGAGGUAGGUGGAAUUCUUGGUGUAGGGGUAAAAUCCGUAGAGAUCAAGAGGAAUACUCAUUGCGAAGGCGACCUGCUGGAACAUUACUGACGCUGAUUGCGCGAAAGCGUGGGGAGCAAACAGGAUUAGAUACCCUGGUAGUCCACGCCCUAAACGAUGGAUGCUAGUUGUUGGAGGGCUUAGUCUCUCCAGUAAUGCAGCUAACGCAUUAAGCAUCCCGCCUGGGGAGUACGGUCGCAAGAUUAAAACUCAAAGGAAUAGACGGGGACCCGCACAAGCGGUGGAGCAUGUGGUUUAAUUCGAAGAUACACGAAGAACCUUACCUAGGCUUGACAUUGAGAGAAUCCGCUAGAAAUAGUGGAGUGUCUGGCUUGCCAGACCUUGAAAACAGGUGCUGCACGGCUGUCGUCAGCUCGUGUCGUGAGAUGUUGGGUUAAGUCCCGCAACGAGCGCAACCCCCUUUCUUAGUUGCUAACAGGUCAUGCUGAGAACUCUAAGGAUACUGCCUCCGUAAGGAGGAGGAAGGUGGGGACGACGUCAAGUCAUCAUGGCCCUUACGCCUAGGGCUACACACGUGCUACAAUGGGGUGCACAAAGAGAAGCAAUACUGCGAAGUGGAGCCAAUCUUCAAAACGCCUCUCAGUUCGGAUUGUAGGCUGCAACUCGCCUGCAUGAAGCUGGAAUCGCUAGUAAUCGCAAAUCAGCCAUGUUGCGGUGAAUACGUUCCCGGGUCUUGUACUCACCGCCCGUCACACCAUGGGAGUUGUGUUUGCCUUAAGUCAGGAUGCUAAAUUGGCUACUGCCCACGGCACACACAGCGACUGGGGUGAAGUCGUAACAAGGUAACCGUAGGUGAACCUGCGGUUGGAUCACCUCCUUUCUAGA